GAUGAACGCUAGCGGGAGGCUUACACAUGCAAGUCGAGGGGCAGCACGAGGUAGCAAUACUUUGGUGGCGACCGGCGCACGGGUGAGUAACGCGUAUGUAACCUACCCUGUACGGGGGGAUAGCCCGGAGAAAUUCGGAUUAAUACCCCAUAAAGAUAUUGAGAGGCAUCUUUUAAUAUUUAAAGCUCAGGCGGUACGGGAUGGGCAUGCGUAACAUUAGCUAGUUGGCAGGGUAACGGCCUACCAAGGCUGCGAUGUUUAGGGGUCCUGAGAGGGUGAUCCCCCACACUGGUACUGAGACACGGACCAGACUCCUACGGGAGGCAGCAGUGAGGAAUAUUGGUCAAUGGGCGCAAGCCUGAACCAGCCAUCCCGCGUGCAGGAAGAAGGCGCUAUGCGUUGUAAACUGCUUUUGCAGGGGAAGAAUGUUCUGUAUGUAUACGGGAUUGACGGUACCUUGUGAAUAAGCAUCGGCUAACUCCGUGCCAGCAGCCGCGGUAAUACGGAGGAUGCGAGCGUUAUCCGGAUUUAUUGGGUUUAAAGGGUGCGUAGGCGGAUUGAUAAGUCAGUGGUGAAAUACUGCAGCUUAACUGUAGAAUUGCCGUUGAUACUGUCAGUCUUGAGUAUGGUUAAGGUAGGCGGAAUGUGUAAUGUAGCGGUGAAAUGCUUAGAUAUUACACAGAACACCGAUUGCGAAGGCAGCUUACUGAGCCAAAACUGACGCUGAGGCACGAAAGCGUGGGGAGCGAACAGGAUUAGAUACCCUGGUAGUCCACACCUUAAACGAUGAAUACUAGGUGUCGGGUCGAAAGACUCGGUGCCAAAGCUAACGCAUUAAGUAUUCCACCUGGGGAGUACGAUCGCAAGGUUGAAACUCAAAGGAAUUGACGGGGGCCCGCACAAGCAGUGGAGCAUGUGGUUUAAUUCGAUGCAACGCGAAGAACCUUACCAGGGUUUGAAAAGCAAGAUUUCAGAGGAUGAAAGUCCUUUACCCGCAAGGGGUCUUGUACAGGUGCUGCAUGGCUGUCGUCAGCUCGUGCCGUGAGGUGUUAGGUUAAGUCCUGCAACGAGCGCAACCCCUACAUUUAGUUGCUACCAGGUAAUGCUGAGCACUCUAAAUGGACUGCCUACGCAAGUAGAGAGGAAGGUGGGGAUGACGUCAAGUCCUCAUGGCCCUUACACCCUGGGCCACACACGUGCUACAAUGGUAACUACAGAGGGCUGCAAUACCGCAAGGUGGAGCCAAUCCCAAAAAAGUUAUCUCAGUUCAGAUUGAGGGCUGAAACUCGCCCUCAUGAAGCUGGAAUUGCUAGUAAUCGCAGAUCAGAACGCUGCGGUGAAUACGCUCCCGGGCCUUGUACACACCGCCCGUCAAGCCAUGGAAGCUGAGGGUACCCGAAGCCGCUACGCUAAC
This 1414-nucleotide ribosomal RNA is filed under the name uncultured Bacteroidales bacterium. Its description in RNAcentral is "partial 16S ribosomal RNA". It matches the Rfam family "Bacterial small subunit ribosomal RNA". Lineage: Bacteria; Pseudomonadati; Bacteroidota; Bacteroidia; Bacteroidales. The record is from RNAcentral.